GACGAACGCUGGCGGCGUGCUUAAUACAUGCAAGUCGAACGGAAAGGCCCUGCUCUUGUGGGGUGCUCGAGUGGCGAACAGGUGAGUAAAACGUGAGUAGCCUGCCCUUGACUUUGGGGUAACUUCAGGGAAAUCGGGCGCAUAUCCGAUAUGAACUCCUGCUGCAUGGGGGGGGAUGGUGAAAUUCGGCGGUUGGGGAUGGACUCGCGGCUUAUCAGCUUGUUGGUGGGGUAGUGGCGUAACAAGGCUUUGAGGGGUAGCCGGCCUGCGAGGGUGACAGGCCACAUAGGGACUGAGAUAGGGCCCAGAGUGCUACGGGAGGAAGCGGUGGGAAAUAGUGCGAAAUGGGCGGAAGCCGGGUGCAGGAACGCCGGGUGCGGGAUGACGGCUGUUGGGUUGUAAACCGGGUUCGCCUGUGACGAACAGUGAGUGACGGUAAUUGGUAAGGAAGCAACGGCUAACUACGUG
This 468-nucleotide ribosomal RNA is filed under the name uncultured bacterium. RNAcentral describes it as "partial 16S ribosomal RNA". It matches the Rfam family "Bacterial small subunit ribosomal RNA", at positions 28 to 507 of the family's 1533-position model. The record is from RNAcentral.